UGUUGUGGCAUCUUUCUUCGCAAUGGAAUCAUCAUCAACCGAGGAAUAAAAUCUGUACAAGAUGAAAGAAUCAUCAGCAACCUGGAGGAACGAAACCUGUGCAAGAUAAAAGAGAAGCAAAAAGAAGGAAGAUGGAAAGAAGUAAAUGGAGAAUAGAUAAAUAUAUAUCAGAUAAGUAGAUAAUAUUCUCAUACAAUCCUGGAAAAAAAUGUUUCAUAUAAGAACAUAUAUGAAACAUUUUUUCCCAGGAUAAAAGAUUAUGUAUCCUAUGUACGUGUUCUUUGUAAAUUCUUUGUAAAUAAUUAAAAGAGGAAUAGGGAGUGUGUUAAAAUGUUUAUGAGAAAUAACUUAUAAAUUUUUAUCUUCCUACUAAUUCUGAUAAUUUGUGUAAAAUUAAAAGAAGGUCUAAGUUUUCAUUAUUUUUUAUCUCAUUCCAAAUUCUUAAUAUAUUGUCCUCCCUUUCUUUCAGGAUAUUUCGGCUCGUUCGUGCCCAAAAAUUCGGAUGCCUCUCGAAACUUCGUAUACGCUUCUGGUGCUCAGAAAGAUUUGACCAAAGUUCUCGGUUGUGUCUUUCGGAGACAUUGUUAGUCCUGUGUACUUGUUCGUACACACAGAAGGAAUCGGGCUUAAAGCCGUUUAUCCAUGUCUCUUCAUAAUAUUGAAAGAACGACUGUAAAUAUGUACAAUUUUCGAAUAUAAUUGUCCUUAUCAAUUCGAAGGCUUCUUUUAUUAAUGUACGAGGUAAAAAUGCCAAGGAUAUCAACAGCUUUGUUGCACCCCAACCCAAUUCAUUUUUGUCACCUUUUAGUAUCCCACGUUUGUCAGCAUUAUGUACUAGCGCCUGUAAUGAGAAAUAAAAACGAUUAAAAUC
This is a long non-coding RNA of Monomorium pharaonis (pharaoh ant), 871 nucleotides long. RefSeq lists it as uncharacterized. The transcript is spliced from 2 exons. The record is from RefSeq and is a predicted model, not a curated record. NCBI's taxonomy places the organism in Eukaryota, Metazoa, Arthropoda, Insecta, Hymenoptera, Formicidae.